AUGGGAGUGAGAAUGUUGGCAUGAGUAGCGAGAUGUGGGUGAGAAUCCCACAGGCCGUAAACCCAAGGUUUCCAGGGGAAGGUUCGUCCGCCCUGGGUUAGUCGGAACCUAAGCUGAGGCCGAAAGGCGUAGGUGAUGGACAACAGGUUGAUAUUCCUGUACUACCGAUAACCAUUUGAGAGAAGGGAUGACACAGUAGGAUAAGCUAAGCACACUGUUGGUUAUGUGUGCCCAAGCAUUGAGGCAGUCAAAGUAGGCAAAUCCGCUUUGAUAAUGCUGGGAUGUGAUGGGGAGCGAAAUUUAGUAGCGAAGUAGCUGAUUUCACACUGUCAAGAAAAGUCUCUA
RNAcentral lists this ribosomal RNA (345 nucleotides) under Clostridioides difficile. RNAcentral's name for it is "partial 23S ribosomal RNA". It matches the Rfam family "Bacterial large subunit ribosomal RNA", at positions 1282 to 1623 of the family's 2925-position model. The record is from RNAcentral. Lineage: Bacteria; Bacillati; Bacillota; Clostridia; Peptostreptococcales; Peptostreptococcaceae.